UGGAUUUAAAAAUAGACUUCUGAGAGACCGUCCUUUCACGCAGAAAUUAGGGAAAACAAAAUUAAAAUAUGUCCAAGAAAUGUUAACCAUGGCCAAACCUUACAUGAUCUUGGAAGAAAAUCUAACCAUACAUUUUGAAAAUCAUGUUUCCAUCGAGUCACACUCCAAUCGCCCGACCGGGAAGGAGUCCUAGUAGUGUCGGGAUGACUCCUGUCUAGAAAUGUU
Molecule: long non-coding RNA, 225 nt
Filed under: Lathyrus oleraceus (garden pea)
Lineage: Eukaryota; Viridiplantae; Streptophyta; Magnoliopsida; Fabales; Fabaceae
Description: Pisum sativum (pea) long non-coding RNA (PSAT_LNC003680)
Source: RNAcentral